UAUCAAUAAGCGGAGGAAAAGAAACCAACAGGGAUUGCCCCAGUAACGGCGAGUGAAGCGGCAGCAGCUCAAAUUUGAAAUCUGGCCCCCAGGGCCCGAGUUGUAAUUUGCAGAGGAUGCUUUCGGCGCGGCGCCUUCCGAGUUCCCUGGAACGGGACGCCACAGAGGGUGAGAGCCCCGUCUGGUCGGACGCCAAGCCGGUGUAAAGCUCCUUCGACGAGUCGAGUAGUUUGGGAAUGCUGCUCUAAACGGGAGGUAUAUGUCUUCUAAAGCUAAAUACCGGCCAGAGACCGAUAGCGCACAAGUAGAGUGAUCGAAAGAUGAAAAGCACUUUGAAAAGAGGGUUAAACAGUACGUGAAAUUGUUGAAAGGGAAGCGCUCGUGACCAGACUUGGGCGCGGUGGAUCAUCCAGCGUUCUCGCUGGUGCACUCCGCCGGGCCCAGGCCAGCAUCAGCUCGCCGCGGGGGACAAAGGCCGCGGGAACGUGGCUCCCCAGGGAGUGUUAUAGCCCGUUGCGCAAUGCCCCGCGGCGGACUGAGGUUCGCGCUCCGCAAGGAUGCUGGCGUAAUGGUCAUCAGCGACCCGUCUUGAAACACGGACCAAGGAGUCGUCUUCGUAUGCGAGUGUUCGGGUGUCAAGCCCCUACGCGGAAUGAAAGUGAACGCAGGUGAGAGCCUCGGCGCAUCAUCGACCGAUCCUGAUGUUCUCGGAUGGAUUUGAGUAAGAGCAUACGGGGCCGGACCCGAAAGAAGGUGAACUAUGCCUGUGUAGGGUGAAGCCAGAGGAAACUCUGGUGGAGGCUCGCAGCGGUUCUGACGUGCAAAUCGAUCGUCAAACAUGGGCAUGGGGGCGAAAGACUAAUCGAACCUUCUAGUAGCUGGUUUC
RNAcentral lists this ribosomal RNA (886 nucleotides) under Tolypocladium japonicum. RNAcentral's name for it is "LSU rRNA". It matches the Rfam family "Eukaryotic large subunit ribosomal RNA", at positions 41 to 958 of the family's 3401-position model. Lineage: Eukaryota; Fungi; Ascomycota; Sordariomycetes; Hypocreales; Ophiocordycipitaceae. The record is from RNAcentral.